Molecule: ribosomal RNA, 884 nt
Filed under: Aspergillus spiculosus
Lineage: Eukaryota; Fungi; Ascomycota; Eurotiomycetes; Eurotiales; Aspergillaceae
Description: LSU rRNA
Rfam family: Eukaryotic large subunit ribosomal RNA
Source: RNAcentral
GCAUAUCAAUAAGCGGAGGAAAAGAAACCAACCGGGAUUGCCUCAGUAACGGCGAGUGAAGCGGCAAGAGCUCAAAUUUGAAAUCUGGCCCCUCCGGGGUCCGAGUUGUAAUUUGUAGAGGAUGCUUCGGGUGCGGCCCCCGUCUAAGUGCUCUGGAACGGGCCAUCGGAGAGGGUGAGAAUCCCGUCUGGGACGGGGUGUCCGCGUCCAUGUGAAGCUCCUUCGACGAGUCGAGUUGUUUGGGAAUGCAGCUCUAAAUGGGUGGUAAAUUUCAUCUAAAGCUAAAUACUGGCCGGAGACCGAUAGCGCACAAGUAGAGUGAUCGAAAGAUGAAAAGCACUUUGAAAAGAGAGUUAAACAGCACGUGAAAUUGUUGAAAGGGAAGCGCUUGCGACCAGACUCGCUUCCGGGGUUCAGCCGGCUUUCGGGCCGGUGUACUUCCCCGGGGGCGGGCCAGCGUCGGUUUGGGCGGCCGGUCAAAGGCCCCUGGAAUGUAACGCCUCUCGGGGCGCCUUAUAGCCAGGGGUGUCAUGCGGCCAGCCUGGACCGAGGAACGCGCUUCGGCACGGACGCUGGCAUAAUGGUCGUAAACGACCCGUCUUGAAACACGGACCAAGGAGUCUAACAUCUACGCGAGUGUUCGGGUGUCAAACCCGUGCGCGCAGUGAAAGCGAACGGAGGUGGGAGCCCCCUCGCGGGGCGCACCAUCGACCGAUCCUGAUGUCUUCGGAUGGAUUUGAGUAAGAGCGUAGCUGUGGGGACCCGAAAGAUGGUGAACUAUGCCUGAAUAGGGCGAAGCCAGAGGAAACUCUGGUGGAGGCUCGCAGCGGUUCUGACGUGCAAAUCGAUCGUCAAAUUUGGGUAUAGGGGCGAAAGACUAAUCG